AACAAAAAAACAAUUGUCUUACUUCUGUGGUUCAGUCAUACUACACAUAUCGAAGCACUGUAAACCGGAUUGUUAGCCAGCUGUAACCAACUAGCCGGUCAGCCAGCUAGUUCGGGUUUAAAUUUUACGCCAUUUAAGGACAUUCAUUAAAAUAUCAGCGAUGUAUAAACCAUUCUUACAAUCUAUCUACAUAUCAAAUGCUAAUACAAAGAACUGGAUCUAUAUGUUAAAUAAUAAAUAAUAACAUUAUGGUAGCAAGUGAUGAAAAUAAAUAUGACAGUCUGAUACAAAAUAUUCAAUGGAAAUUUCACAGCAAUGACACAAUAUUACACGGAAACAAUCUGAACAAGUUAAAAUAAGGCGAACACCUUUAAACUUAGGUUAAAACUUUACCUCGUGAUUUCACAAGAAACUGUUUAAUGGGAGAGUCCCCUGAAGUUUUAAACCCACAGCGAUAAAAUAACCAUCAAAAUAAAUCAAACUAACAGAUUUUGCUUUAAUACGACACGAUAAUUAUCAUUCUAACUGGAAUAGACUGCGCUAAAUAUUAGUUAACAAGCUAUUUAACUCAGUUUUAGGAUGCAACUAGACAUUACUUAUUUCGAAAGUCAGUAAUGGAGCUCUUAUACAAACUAUAGAUCCAGUGAUAGGGCUGUUGUUGUUUUGUUUUUGCUAAGACUGUAUGUCGUUCGGGAUCGGGUCUGUACAUAAAACAGACCGCCGCCAUUGCUCUGACGUCACCAUCACAUUCCACACAGAAAGGAAAGUAGGGAAGAGAGCAAUUAGACUUGAAAUAAAGAAAGAAAGAGAAGAAGUAAGUCUAAGGCAAAGGGUUUUAAUAUCCCUCUAGUGGGUCUUCGUUUUGCUUUCAACAUAAACAGAACACGGGCCUGCUGAAAGUGAACAUAAGUGUGAUGAUGUGCAGCGUGUGGAGCGCGUACUGCGGAUGACAAGUCAAAACAAAAUAGAAUUGAAUUUUAAAUAUUACACUGGACAAACAAAAGAGUCGUGUUUUGAACAACAAUAAAGUGGGAUAUAAUGGAAGCGUCCCAAAAUUUGGUCAAGUUUUUUUUUAAACAUUAAUUCCUACAUUCUGAAAAUAAGAUACAUGAAUCUCAUAGCUGUGUAAUGAUUCAAACAGCUUUCAUUAUUCAUUUAAAACGUCGUACAUUGGAUGUAACAAUGUCAAAUCAGAAUGCAAUGAAAAUUUUGAUACUUUCCACAAUUAAAACACAUCGAGUCAAAUCAUAUUAUGAAAAAAAUUCUAAUGUUGAUUUGUGAUAAAAAUUACGUUGAAAUUUUGAGUUAACACUCAAUUACUAUAGUGUCAACAUUAAAAUUAAACAAUCGAAUUUCUCGUAUUUCACCUUAUAACUUGUGAUUUUGAUGAAUAUUACAUCAGAGCUCAUAAUCGCUUUCUUUCAAUUUACGUUUAAAAAUUGUUUAUGUAUUUCUAUAUAUAUUAAUCGGAUUUGAGAGAAUAUACAUUUUCUAGAAUUGGUCCACUUAAUCACAAAUAAAUCUAUCUAAAUUUUCAAAUAUUUCCAAAAGAAAAUCAUAAAUGGCUUUUUAUAGGGCUACGGAUAGUAUAAAUGAAAAUACUUUUGAUUAAUUGCAUCGAAUAUGCAAUAUUUCAAAAUACAGAAUACAUAAUAUACACGAUUUGAAUCUCGUAACGCAUCAUAUAUUUAAUAUCCUUAAGAUUGUUGACAUUUUGAAUACAACUUACGUGGUUUGUACUAUAUAAAUCCAAUAUUUCGUGUAAUUUGUCUCGAAGAUUUUUGACGUAAUGGCUAGUACAAGCAAUACUUAAAUAUUUCUUUAUGAGACUAAUAUUUCAAAAUAUGCAGUACAUAAUAUACAGGAUCUGAAUCCUGUAACUAUCAUAUAUUUAGGACCCUUAAGAAUGCUGACCUUUUUUAUACAUAUUUUUUACUCUUCUUGUUGAGCUUUCAUUUAACUUAUAUGGUUUUUAUUAUACAUACGAAUCUCAUAUUUUGUAAAUCACGUCUUAAAAUAGUUUUCAUAUUUUGGCUAAUCCAAGAAACACGUCACUAAUUCUUCAAUCAAAAUUAUUAAAAACAAGAGACUCAUAUGUCAGAGGUAAUUGACACGUAAGCCCAAUGUACAUUUCAUGAAGAUAGUUAUUCAAUAACUAGAUUAUAAAAUAGCUCUAAAAACACAAUUGAGUACCGAAUCAAUAAUUAAAAGCUUCAAAUGUGUUGGCCAGUUCUCAAGUGUAUUAGUGAUCGUUCUCAUAUAAAGUUUUGUUAAUAUUUGUAUAUAAAUAUUCGAAAUAAUUAAAUAAAAAUGUUGUUUACUGUAAAAGUACAUUUAAUGUAUUUUCGUAUGAUAUAAGCAUCAUGUCAGUAGCAAAAUCCAUCACCAAUGUGUCUUAAGGAUUUACUAUUAAUUCUAUUGUGGUAAUAAAACUUUUAAAGUAAAUGCUAUUAGCCAUCAUUCAUGGCAAUUGAACGCAAUGAAAUCUCGGGCGAUCAGAUGUAUAAGAUAGAUGUUAUCAUGAAACUUGUCCGAGGCUGUUCAAAACAUAUUACAACGCCAUUUUCAUACGGCUGAUAGCCCGAGGAAACCUCAUUGUACUAUUUUUAGGUCAGCUCGAACUACUGACAAUUUUUAUAAAUUUACAUAUUUUUACCAAUAAUUAAUUAAAUGAGCUGGAAGAAAAUCUUGAUCUGAUUAUGUUAAAUGCUACUGAUACAAGUGUUGCAUAUUUAUUUGUAAUCACGUUUAUUUCAGUAUGUUUGAAACGUAGUGAUGUAUUAGUGCUAAUAAUCUCUUUUAUAGGUCACAGUUAUUAUAAUUGUUAAGAGAAUUUUAUUUUGUAAAAAUAAUAUUUGCUCGUGAACACAAGCGAGCGACUUAAUAUUGUAACAAUUUUGUAUCAAAAAUAAAUAUUUUAGAAACCCA
Zootermopsis nevadensis is the source of this 2928-nucleotide non-coding RNA. The record is from RefSeq and is a predicted model, not a curated record. Lineage: Eukaryota; Metazoa; Arthropoda; Insecta; Blattodea; Termopsidae.